This 229-nucleotide long non-coding RNA is filed under the name Mytilus galloprovincialis (Mediterranean mussel). Lineage: Eukaryota; Metazoa; Mollusca; Bivalvia; Mytilida; Mytilidae. The record is from RNAcentral.
CUUCCACGAAAUAUUUAAUUAGAAUUUUUUUAAAUGUUUAUUAAUUUUCGAAAAUUCCACCUGACAACCGAUUAGACAAUAGUUUUAAGUUGAAUCAAUGCAGACAAGAUCAUUAACUGAUGCUCAUUAGCUAGUUUAUACAUUUGUCUUUUAAAAUACAACUGACAUAUACGGAUCGUAAUGGUGCAAUGUGGAUAAAUUUAUCGGUUUCAAAGAGCAAAAUUGGUAG